Transfer RNA from Lipomyces starkeyi NRRL Y-11557, 85 nucleotides. It matches the Rfam family "tRNA". Rfam says of the family: Transfer RNA (tRNA) molecules are approximately 80 nucleotides in length. Their secondary structure includes four short double-helical elements and three loops (D, anti-codon, and T loops). Further hydrogen bonds mediate the characteristic L-shaped molecular structure. tRNAs have two regions of fundamental functional importance: the anti-codon, which is responsible for specific mRNA codon recognition, and the 3' end, to which the tRNAs corresponding amino acid is attached (by aminoacyl-tRNA synthetases). tRNAs cope with the degeneracy of the genetic code in two manners: having more than one tRNA (with a specific anti-codon) for a particular amino acid; and 'wobble' base-pairing, i.e. permitting non-standard base-pairing at the 3rd anti-codon position. The record is from Rfam. Lineage: Eukaryota; Fungi; Ascomycota; Lipomycetes; Lipomycetales; Lipomycetaceae.
GAAGCGGUGGCUCAAUGGUAGAGCUUUCGACUCCAGUGUAAGCCGGUUAAUCGAAGGGUUGCAGGUUCAAUUCCUGUCCGUUUCA